GUGCUUGCUUUAGCAGCACAUGUACUAAAAUUGGAUCAAUACAGAGAUGAUUAGCAUGGUCCCUGUGCAAGGAUGACAUGCAAACAUGUGAAGCAUUCCAUAGUUUU
This is a small nuclear RNA of Microtus ochrogaster (prairie vole), 107 nucleotides long. The record is from Ensembl. Lineage: Eukaryota; Metazoa; Chordata; Mammalia; Rodentia; Cricetidae.